Molecule: ribosomal RNA, 466 nt
Filed under: uncultured bacterium
Lineage: Bacteria
Description: partial 16S ribosomal RNA
Rfam family: Bacterial small subunit ribosomal RNA
Source: RNAcentral
GACGAACGCUGGCGGCGUGCUUAACACAUGCAAGUCGAACGGAAAGGCCCUGCUUGCAGGGUACUCGAGUGGCGAACGGGUGAGUAACACGUGGGUGAUCUGCCCUGCACUUCGGGAUAAGCUUGGGAAACUGGGUCUAAUACCGGAUAGGAGCCAUCUUUAGUGUGGUGGUUGGAAAGUUUUUUCGGUGUAGGAUGAGCUCGCGGCCUAUCAGCUUGUUGGUGGGGUAAUGGCCUACCAAGGCGGCGACGGGUAGCCGGCCUGAGAGGGUGUACGGCCAUAGGGGGGGGGAGAGAGGCACCAGACCCCUCGGGGAGGCAGCGAGGGGGAAUAUGGCAAAGGGGGGGAGGGCUGGAGGCGGCGACGCCGGGGGGGGGAUGAGGGCCUUGGGUUUGAAAACUCUUGUGGCGGGGGAAAAGGUUUUGUUGGGAGGUUACCUAAAAAAGAGGCCCCGGCAAACUACGUG